GAAGCGGCAACAGCUCAAAUUUGAAAUCUGGCGCAAGCCCGAGUUGUAAUUUGUAGAGGAUGCUUCUGGGUAGCGACCGGUCUAAGUUCCUUGGAACAGGACGUCAUAGAGGGUGAGAAUCCCGUAUGUGACCGGCCCGCACCCUAUACGUAGCUCCUUCGACGAGUCGAGUUGUUUGGGAAUGCAGCUCUAAAUGGGAGGUAAAUUUCUUCUAAAGCUAAAUACCGGCCAGAGACCGAUAGCGCACAAGUAGAGUGAUCGAAAGAUGAAAAGUACUUUGGAAAGAGAGUUAAAAAGCACGUGAAAUUGUUGAAAGGGAAGCGCCUGCAAUCAGACUUCGCGGCAGUGUUCCACUGGUCUUCUGACCGGUCUACUCUCUGCCGCGAGGCCAUCAUCGUCUUGGCCCGCUGGAUAAGACCCUGGGAAUGUAGCUCCCCCUCGGGGGAGUGUUAUAGCCCCGGGUGAUGCAGCGCGGCUGGGGCGAGGUCCGCGCUUCGGCAAGGAUGAUGGCGUAAUGGUUGUCGGCGGCCCGUCUUGAAACACGGACCAAGGAGUCUAACAUCUAUGCGAGUGUUCGGGUGUCAAACCCCUACGCGUAAUGAAAGUGAACGGAGGUGGGAACCGCAAGGUGCACCAUCGACCGAUCCUGAUGUCCUCGGAUGGAUUUGAGUAAGAGCAUAGCUGUUGGGACCCGAAAGAUGGUGAACUAUGCCUGAAUAGGGUGAAGCCAGAGGAAACUCUGGUGGA
RNAcentral lists this ribosomal RNA (747 nucleotides) under Sphaerulina musiva. RNAcentral describes it as "eukaryotic LSU rRNA". It matches the Rfam family "Eukaryotic large subunit ribosomal RNA", at positions 95 to 871 of the family's 3401-position model. The record is from RNAcentral. Lineage: Eukaryota; Fungi; Ascomycota; Dothideomycetes; Mycosphaerellales; Mycosphaerellaceae.